UGCCCAGCAACUCCUAUCCCUACCGCCUCGUGGUACUGGCUGGGGUACGACUAACCUUCAGGAAGAACUGG
RNAcentral lists this ribozyme (71 nucleotides) under Aedes aegypti (yellow fever mosquito). RNAcentral's name for it is "drz-agam-1 ribozyme". It matches the Rfam family "drz-agam-1 ribozyme". The record is from Rfam by way of RNAcentral. Lineage: Eukaryota; Metazoa; Arthropoda; Insecta; Diptera; Culicidae.